Small nuclear RNA from Bactrocera oleae (olive fruit fly), 191 nucleotides. RefSeq annotates it as U2 spliceosomal RNA. NCBI's taxonomy places the organism in Eukaryota, Metazoa, Arthropoda, Insecta, Diptera, Tephritidae. The record is from RefSeq and is a predicted model, not a curated record.
GUAGUAUGUUAAAAUAAAAAAUAUAUAUGUUAUCUGUUCUUAUCAGCUUAACAUCUGAUAGAUCCUCCAUCGGAGGACAACAAAUGUUAAACUGAUUUUUGGAAGUGGACGGAGUGUUUUAGAGGCUUGCUCCACCUCUGUCACGGGUUGGCCCGGUAUUGCAGUACCACCGGGAUUUCGGCCCAAAUAAU